UGUUAAGUUAGGAGUGAAAGUCCCGCUUUCAAGGUGGGAAUUGCUUUUAAUACUGAUGGGCUUGAGUGCAGAAGAGGUAAGUGGAAUUCCCAGUGUAGCGGUGAAAUGCGUAGAGAUUGGGAGGAACACCAGUGGCGAAGGCGACUUACUGGGCUGUAACUGACGCUGAGGCGCGAAAGCGUGGGGAGCGAACAGGAUUAGAUACCCUGGUAGUCCACGCGGUAAACGAUGAAUGCUAGGUGUAGGGGGUAUCGACCCCUCCUGUGCCGGAGUAAACACAAUAAGCAUUCCGCCUGGGGAGUACGGCCGCAAGGUUGAAACUCAAAGGAAUUGACGGGGGCCCGCACAAGCAGCGGAGCAUGUGGUUUAAUUCGAAGCAACGCGAAGAACCUUACCAGGUCUUGACAUCGAGGAAAACUUGUAGAGAUACAAGGUGAGCUUGCUCAUCCGAAGACAGGUGGUGCAUGGUUGUCGUCAGCUCGUGUCGUGAGAUGUUGGGUUAAGUCCCGCAACGAGCGCAACCCUUAUCUUCAGUUACUAACGCGUAGCGGCGAGGACUCUGGAGAGACUGCCGGGGAUAACUCGGAGGAAGGUGGGGACGACGUCAAAUCAUCAUGCCCCUUAUGACCUGGGCUACACACGUGCUACAACGGUGUUGAACAAAGAGGAGCGAGCCUGUAAAGGUAAGCGGAUCUCAAAAAAGACAUCUCAGUUCGGACUGUGGGCUGCAACCCGCCCACACGAAGUUGGAGUUGCU
RNAcentral lists this ribosomal RNA (757 nucleotides) under uncultured Bacillota bacterium. RNAcentral's name for it is "bacterial SSU rRNA". It matches the Rfam family "Bacterial small subunit ribosomal RNA", at positions 581 to 1336 of the family's 1533-position model. The record is from RNAcentral. Lineage: Bacteria; Bacillati; Bacillota.